UUUUUUGCAUUAAAUGAAUUAUUUUGCAGAGGUAUCUUUUAAUUAAAAACUACAGUGAUUUAAUUUAAAAAUUACAUUAUUUUAGCUUAGCAUUAUUUGUAUUAAAUGGUUUAUAACAUGAAAUACAGUCCUUCAAGUCUUCUGUUUCAUCUCUCGCUCUGACCCCAAUUUCAUUUUUUUCUCCAUUUCUUUAGAAAGGUGCAAAAUUCCUUAGUGAUGCUGAGAUCAUCCAGUUAGUCAUUGCUAAGCAUAUCCCAGCCUACAAGUUGGAAACUCUGAUGGAAACUCAUGAGCGUGGUGUAUCUAUUCGCCGACAGUUACUUUCCAAAAAGCUUUCAGAACCUUCUUCUCUCCAGUACCUACCUUACAGGGAUUAUAACUACUCCUUGGUGAUGGGAGCUUGUUGUGAGAAUGUUAUUGGAUAUAUGCCCAUCCCUGUUGGAGUGGCAGGACCCCUUUGCUUGGAUGGAAAAGAAUUUCAGGUUCCAAUGGCAACAACA
RNAcentral lists this small RNA (500 nucleotides) under Pongo abelii (Sumatran orangutan). Its description in RNAcentral is "retained intron". The record is from RNAcentral. Lineage: Eukaryota; Metazoa; Chordata; Mammalia; Primates; Hominidae.